This 243-nucleotide small RNA is filed under the name Pongo abelii (Sumatran orangutan). RNAcentral describes it as "processed transcript". Lineage: Eukaryota; Metazoa; Chordata; Mammalia; Primates; Hominidae. The record is from RNAcentral.
CUUUCCUCUGUCUGGAAAAGCGUAGGCAUCCGGAGGCUUUGGAGGGGAGUCUGGCAGCCCGGCUGGCCCAGGCCCUGCAGCGGCAGCCUUUCCACAGCGCGCAGCGGCGGCCUUUCGAGGCCCUUUCUGGGGGAGAACCUCCUGGAGGGGUUCUCUGUGGGGCCGUGUCAGUGCUCUGCUGGGCCUGCAUCCCCUGCUGGGGAGUAAGGCUGGUCCUGGGGUCCUCCCUGCACAGCCCCCACU